CCUACGGGGGGCAGCAGUGAGGAAUAUUGGUCAAUGGGCUUACGCCUGAACCAGCCAAGUCGCGUGAGGGAAGACUGCCCUAUGGGUUGUAAACCUCUUUUGUCAGGGAGCAACGCCGGCUACGUGUAGCCGGACUGAGAGUACCUGAAGAAAAAGCAUCGGCUAACUCCGUGCCAGCAGCCGCGGUAAUACGGAGGAUGCGAGCGUUAUCCGGAUUUAUUGGGUUUAAAGGGUGCGUAGGCGGAAUGCCAAGUCAGCGGUAAAAUCGUGGGGCUCAACCUCGCUCCGCCGUUGAAACUGGCGGUCUUGAGUGGGCGAGAAGUAUGCGGAAUGCGUGGUGUAGCGGUGAAAUGCAUAGAUAUCACGAAGAACUCCGAUUGCGAAGGCAGCAUACCGGCGCCCAACUGACGCUGAAGCACGAAAGCGUGGGUAUCGAACAGGAUUAGAUACCCCAGUAGUC
This 460-nucleotide ribosomal RNA is filed under the name uncultured bacterium. Its description in RNAcentral is "partial 16S ribosomal RNA". It matches the Rfam family "Bacterial small subunit ribosomal RNA", at positions 338 to 795 of the family's 1533-position model. The record is from RNAcentral.